RNAcentral lists this ribosomal RNA (497 nucleotides) under uncultured bacterium. RNAcentral's name for it is "partial 16S ribosomal RNA". It matches the Rfam family "Bacterial small subunit ribosomal RNA", at positions 28 to 507 of the family's 1533-position model. The record is from RNAcentral.
GAUGAACGCUGGCGGCGUGCCUAAUACAUGCAAGUCGAGCGAACGGACGAGAAGCUUGCUUCUCUGAUGUUAGCGGCGGACGGGUAAGUAACACGUGGAUAACCUACCUAUAAGACUGGGAUAACUUCGGGAAACCGGAGCUAAUACCGGAUGAUAUUUUGAACCGCAUGGUUCAAAAGUGAAAGACGGUCUUGCUGUCACUUAUAGAUGGAUCCGCGCUGCAUUAGCUAGUUGGUAAGGUAACGGCUUACCAAGGCAACGAUGCAUAGCCGACCUGAGAGGGUGAUCGGCCACACUGGAACUGAGACACGGUACAGACUCCUACGGGAGGCAGCAGUAGGGAAUCUUCCGCAAUGGGCGAAAGCCUGACGGAGCAACGCCGCGUGAGUGAUGAAGGUCUUCGGAUCGUAAAACUCUGUUAUUAGGGAAGAACAUAUGUGUAAGUAACUGUGCACAUCUUGACGGUACCUAAUCAGAAAGCCACGGCUAACUACGUG